Molecule: ribosomal RNA, 253 nt
Filed under: uncultured prokaryote
Description: partial 16S ribosomal RNA
Rfam family: Bacterial small subunit ribosomal RNA
Source: RNAcentral
ACGUAGGGGGCGAGCGUUGUCCGGAGUUACUGGGCGUAAAGCGCACGCAGGCGGUCUGCGAAGUUUGGAGUGACAGUUGGUGGCUCAACCACCAAAGUGCUUUGAAAACUGACAGACUUGAGGGCUUCAGAGGGACACGGAAUUCCGGGUGGAGUGGUGAAAUGCGUAGAGAUCGGGAGGAACAUCUGUGGCGAAGGCGGCCACCUGGACUAGCACUGACACUGAGGCACGAAAGCGUGGGGAGCAAACAGGA